This 86-nucleotide transfer RNA is filed under the name Wolfiporia cocos MD-104 SS10. RNAcentral's name for it is "Wolfiporia cocos (strain MD-104) (brown rot fungus) tRNA". It matches the Rfam family "tRNA". From Rfam's summary of the family: Transfer RNA (tRNA) molecules are approximately 80 nucleotides in length. The record is from Rfam by way of RNAcentral. Lineage: Eukaryota; Fungi; Basidiomycota; Agaricomycetes; Polyporales; Phaeolaceae.
UGCCCCAUGGCUGAGUUGGUUACAGCGUCCGACUGUUAGCACUUGCUUAAAUCGGAAGGUCGUCAGUUCGAGCCUGACUGGGGCAG